This is a long non-coding RNA of Clupea harengus (Atlantic herring), 1915 nucleotides long. The record is from Ensembl. NCBI's taxonomy places the organism in Eukaryota, Metazoa, Chordata, Actinopteri, Clupeiformes, Clupeidae.
GAGCUUCUGACGCUGUCAACCUCGAAGCAGCCUCUACCAAGGCCACCAUCAAAGCGGUCUCUGACGCCGUCAACGCAGCCUUUGGAGCUUCCACCCUUGAAGCUAUCUCCGCCGCCCUCGAAGCUGCCUAUGCAGCAUUGGAAAGAUUUUCUGUCACACCCAAAGAAGCCUCUGGCGCUGCCUUGCUCGAUGCAGCUUCUAUUGCCAUCGAUGCAGCCUCUGCCACCCUCGAAGCAGCCUCUGAUGCUGCCGCCUCCGAGGUCGUCGCUGCUGCCCCAGAUGUAGCCUCCGUCGCUACCACUCCCAAAGCAGCCUCUGCCUCCCCCGAAGCAGCCUCUGACGCUGCCGCCCCAGAAGCAGCCUCUGACGCUGCCGCCCCUGAAGUAGCCUCCGUUGCUACCGCCCCAGAAGCAGCCUCUGACGCUGCCGCCUCCGAGGUCGUCGCUGCUGCCCCAGAUGUAGCCUCCGUCGCUACCACUCCCAAAGCAGCCUCUGCCUCCCCCGAAGCAGCCUCUGACGCUGCCGCCCCUGAAGUAGCCUCCGUUGCUACCGCCCCAGAAGCAGCCUCUGACGCUGCCGCCUCCGAGGUCGUCUCUGCUGCCCCAGAUGUAGCCUCCGUCGCUACCACUCCCAAAGCAGCCUCUGCCUCUCCCGAAGCAGCUUCUGAUGCUGCCACCACCGAAGCAGCCUCUUACGCUGCCGCCCCCGAUGUAGCCUCUGUCGCUACCACCCCAGAAGCAGCCUCUGACGCUGCCGGCCCCGACGUAGUCUCUGUUGCUAGCAACCCCGAAGCAGCCUCUGUCGCUGCUGUCCCUGAAGCAGCCUCUGAUGCCACUGACGUAGCCUCCGUCGCUACCGCUCCCGAAGCACCCACUGCUGCCCCCGACGUAGCCUCUGUUGCUAGCAACCCCGAAGCAGCCUCUGUCGCUGCUGUCCCUGAAGCAGUCUCUGAAGAAAUUGCUGAUGGUGACGCCACUGAGGCCUACGCCACAGCAGAACCAGCCGCCGCAGAUCAAGCCGCCGCUCUCCCUGCAGACCGAGCCGUCGCUCACCCUGCAGACCCGGCCGUCGCUGACCCUGCAGACCCGGCCGUCGCUGACCCUGCAGAACCAGCCGCCGCAGAUCAAGCCGCCGCUCUCCCUGCAGACCGAGCCGUCGCUCACCCUGCAGACCCGGCCGUCGCUGACCCUGCAGACCCGGCCGUCGCUGACCCUGCAGACCCAGCCGACGCUCACCCAGCUUGUGCGUACCCUACAGCCAGCGCUGCCGACCCGGACCCCGCAGCCACCGCUGCCGACCCGCACCCCGCAGCUGACCCGGACCCUGCUGCCACAGCUGCCAACCAAGAUCCUCCAGCAUCCGUUUCCGAUGCAGGCCCAGCAGCACCCUCUGCCGAGACCGGUCCAGCAGCACCUUCUGAUGGCGUCGCUGCUGAGGGCUCUGCUGUUCCAAGCGCCCCUGGCCGGAGUGCCCCUGUCCCGAGCGCCCCUGGUCGGAGUGCCCCUGUCCCAGGCUCCCCUGUCCCGAGCGUCCCAGGCGCCCCUGUCCCGAGCGUCUCAGGCGCCCCGGUCCCGAGCGUCCCAGGCGUCCCGGUCCCGAGCGUCUCCGGCGUUCCUGUCCAAGGUGUCCUUGCGCCGGUUCCAGGCGUCCAUGCGCCGGCCCCAGGCGCUCCGGACCCUGUCUCCAGUGUUCCUGGGUUCCCUGUCCCAGCUGCAGCAGACCCAGGGUUCGGUGCCGCCAGCCCUAAUGAACCAGCGAGUCCAGGUGCCACGUCUACCCCAGCCACUGGCCCUGCAACCCCAAACACCAAUCGAUAUCGCUGGCAUCUAUUUGUUGUGAGGGUUAUUGUUGUGUUUAUUGUUGGUCUGUUUGGCCGGUCGCCAAAGACUCUGCCCCUGUUUGGCCACCCACCCGG